Long non-coding RNA from Drosophila navojoa, 350 nucleotides. The record is from RefSeq and is a predicted model, not a curated record. NCBI's taxonomy places the organism in Eukaryota, Metazoa, Arthropoda, Insecta, Diptera, Drosophilidae.
AACAAGAACAACAGCAAAGAAUAGGCAAAAAGCAAAAAUGCGCUACUUUUUGACCAGUUUUCGUUUGCGGCCAAUUUAACUUGUGAGCCAUAAAUUUGUGGUGUGCCUGGCUGCAAAACAUGCCCAGCAUUUGAUUUGACAUAUCAAUAAUUUACGAGCAUAACAAAAUUAUAGAGUACAGCGGCAGCCACAUCGACUGCAACAGCAACAACAACAACAACAACAACAAGACACCGGAACUGCUGCUGGCCGUAAUUACAAGCGAAAAUCGCUGCCACGUAAAGUGUCGAUCGUUGUCGAUGUCGACGUCGACGUCGAUUUCGAUUUCGAUGUUGAUGAAGAAAAAAAAA